AGUGGAGUCCAUCCUUUUUCAUCUUUUCCUUUGGCCAAACUAUUCUGUUUUUCCAAUAGCAUACGUACUGUCUCUGUAUCCCAGCGCUCUACUGCCUUAUGUAAUACCGUAGUAGUACCAUCAGGGCAAACAUAAUCCAGAGCUUGUGAAUCGGUCUUAUUUAACAGUUCAGCGACUAUAUUUGUACAUGUGUUAUCAACAGCCAAGUAAAGAGGAGUUUCCUCAAGAUUAUUUACAGGAUAUUUGAACUGAGGAUCUUCCUUGCUCAAUAUUGCUUUCACGACACCCAGACUUCUUCCAUUUCGUGCUGCCACAUGCAAGGCCGUUUCUCCCUUUUUAUUUACCUUCCUUAACAUCUCCCUCACUGCUUCCAUUUUCCUAUCUGCUGUCACUUCUUCGCCCUUUAUAUCAUGUAAUGCCUCUGCCUGUUUGAUUAGCUCUUCCGCUGCAUCAGUAUGCGCGUGCCUAGAUGCAAUGUGCAACGGAAUAUUACCGUCAGAAUUUCCCUGCAAUAAAAACUUCGGGCACUUGCAAACUACUUGUUUUAUAAACUCAGCAGAUCUUUUCCCUGCAAAGGAAAGAUGAAUAUGCAGUGUUGUGUUUCCAUCUGGUGUCACUAUGCAAUCAAGAUGAUCUAAAUGUUCAUUGAAUGGAUCAAAUUUGCCUUGUUCUGCUGCCUUCUUUAAGUCAUCUUCCAUGGAUGGGCGUCCCCUGUGGAGACAAUUUUUGCUAGCAUUUGACAUCUCCUUUGCAAGAAAGCGAAAGAAUUUGAAACAAGUUUGAAGUUGAGUAGAAGACUUGAUGAUUUAAUUGGGAAAAGGUUAAAAAAAU
RNAcentral lists this unclassified non-coding RNA (831 nucleotides) under Hevea brasiliensis (rubber tree). Lineage: Eukaryota; Viridiplantae; Streptophyta; Magnoliopsida; Malpighiales; Euphorbiaceae. The record is from RNAcentral.